Molecule: ribosomal RNA, 253 nt
Filed under: uncultured bacterium
Lineage: Bacteria
Description: partial 16S ribosomal RNA
Rfam family: Bacterial small subunit ribosomal RNA
Source: RNAcentral
UACAGAGGUCUCAAGCGUUGUUCGGAAUUACUGGGCGUAAAGGGCUCGUAGGCGGCCAACUAAGUCAUACGUGAAAUCCCUCAGCUUAACUGGGGAACUGCGUGUGAUACUGGAUGGCUUGGAUUUGGGAGAGGGAUGCGGAAUUCCAGGUGUAGCGGUGAAAUGCGUAGAUAUCUGGAGGAACACCGGUGGCGAAGGCGGCAUCCUGGACCAACACUGACACUGAUGAGCGAAAGCCAGGGGAGCAAACGGG